Molecule: long non-coding RNA, 217 nt
Organism: Papilio polytes (common Mormon)
Lineage: Eukaryota; Metazoa; Arthropoda; Insecta; Lepidoptera; Papilionidae
Exons: 3
Source: RefSeq, a predicted model, not a curated record
ACCACCUGCGCCUCAUACACACCAUCGAGACCACCAGGAAGCUGCUCGCCGGCGUUAUCUUCGCGGCGUCAGCGCAGCGAGGACUCGAUAGAGAUAUAUUGAUUAGAUUGUAUAGAGAACAAAUGACGUCAGCGACGCACGGGCCGACGGGCGCGCUGGACGAGGUGUCGCUCGCGCUGCAGAUGGCGCUGCUCUACGCGCUAGACCUCUCCGUCUU